GCAACUGCCAGGCAGGUUAAUUUCGUCACGUCCUGUGACAACGCCUGCACUAGCACGUCCUGUGCG
RNAcentral lists this small RNA (66 nucleotides) under Lentibacillus halodurans. RNAcentral's name for it is "Bacillaceae-1 RNA". The stretch from base 10 to 66 matches the Rfam family "Bacillaceae-1 RNA", at positions 10 to 67 of the family's 67-position model. Lineage: Bacteria; Bacillati; Bacillota; Bacilli; Caryophanales; Bacillaceae. The record is from Rfam by way of RNAcentral.